This 253-nucleotide ribosomal RNA is filed under the name uncultured bacterium. RNAcentral describes it as "partial 16S ribosomal RNA". It matches the Rfam family "Bacterial small subunit ribosomal RNA", at positions 524 to 776 of the family's 1533-position model. The record is from RNAcentral.
UCCGGAAGGGGCUAUCGUUGUUCGGAAUUACUGGGCGUAAAGAGCGCGUAGGCGGCUUACCAAGUUGGGGGUGAAAUCCUGGAGCUCAACUCCGGAACUGCCUUCAAAACUGGUAGGCUCGAGUCCGGAAGAGGGACGUGGAAUUCCCAGUGUAGAGGUGAAAUUCGUAGAUAUUGGGAAGAACACCGGUGGCGAAGGCGGCGCCCUGGUCCGGUACUGACGCUGAGGCGCGAAAGCGUGGGGAGCAAACAGG